UAAUACGAAAGGUGCAAGCGUUACUCGGAAUCACUGGGCGUAAAGCGCACGUAGGCGGACUUACAGGUCAAUUGUGAAAUACCUGGGCUCAACCCAGGAACUGCAGUUGAAACCGUUUGUCUUGAAUACUUGAGAGGGUGGGGGAAUACCUGGUGGAGAAGUGAAAUUCGUAGAGAUCAGGUGGAACACCGGAGGCGAAGGCGCCUGCCUGGCAAUGUAUUGACGCUGAGGUGCGAAAGUGCGGGGAGCAAACAGGAUUAGAUACCCUGGUAGUCCGCACCGUAAACGAUGGAUACUAGGCGUUCGGAGAGUUAACCCUCUGAGUGCCAAAGUUCACACAUUAAGUAUCCCGCCUGGGAAGUACGGUCGCAAGACUA
RNAcentral lists this ribosomal RNA (377 nucleotides) under uncultured bacterium. RNAcentral's name for it is "bacterial SSU rRNA". It matches the Rfam family "Bacterial small subunit ribosomal RNA", at positions 521 to 896 of the family's 1533-position model. The record is from RNAcentral.